Molecule: ribosomal RNA, 253 nt
Filed under: uncultured bacterium
Lineage: Bacteria
Description: partial 16S ribosomal RNA
Rfam family: Bacterial small subunit ribosomal RNA
Source: RNAcentral
UACGUAGGGUGCGAGCGUUAAUCGGAAUUACUGGGCGUAAAGCGUGCGCAGGCGGUUUUGUAAGACAGGCGUGAAAUCCCCGGGCUCAACCUGGGAAUUGCGCUUGUGACUGCAAGGCUGGAGUGCGGCAGAGGGGGAUGGAAUUCCGCGUGUAGCAGUGAAAUGCGUAGAUAUGCGGAGGAACACCGAUGGCGAAGGCAAUCCCCUGGGCCUGCACUAACGCUCAUGCACGAAAGCGUGGGGAGCAAACAGG